GAUUUAUAUUCUCAGUAGCAAUCUUGUAUCCAGAAAUUUUAAAGGCCUUCGUUGCUUUGGGGGCCUCUUUUGAUUUUGGGGCUCGGGGGCCUCUUUUGGUUUUGUGGCCCCCAACCCCUCUCGGCGGCCCUGAUUAUAAACUAUUGCUUUGAACUGAUUUAUACUGUACAGAUCGUGUAAAUAUUUUACAAGGAAUCAAAUUUCAAAAACCCAGUGGUUUCUAUAGUAGGCUCCUAUAAAGGUAUGUUAGAUUACUUUAAAUCAUAAUGAUUCUUAUUAAUGUUGUAAUUGCCGAAAUAAAUGA
Paramuricea clavata is the source of this 304-nucleotide non-coding RNA. Lineage: Eukaryota; Metazoa; Cnidaria; Anthozoa; Malacalcyonacea; Plexauridae. The record is from the annotation of a GenBank genome assembly.